AGAGCGAACGCUGGCGGCAGGCCUAACACAUGCAAGUCGAGCGCCCCGCAAGGGGAGCGGCAGACGGGAGAGUAACACGUGGGAACGUACCCUUCAGUUCGGAACAACCCAGGGAAACUUGGGCUAAUACCGAAUACGUCCGUAAGGAGAAAGAUUUAUCGCUGAAGGAUCGGCCCGCGUCUGAUUAGCUAGUUGGUGAGGUAACGGCUCACCAAGGCUACGAUCAGUAGCUGGUCUGAGAGGAUGAUCAGCCUCACUGGGACUGAGACACGGCCCAGACUCCUACGGGAGGCAGCAGUGGGGAAUAUUGGACAAUGGGCGCAAGCCUGAUCCAGCCAUGCCGCGUGGAUGAUGAAGGCCUUAGGGUUGUAAAGUCCUUUCGGACGGGAAGAUAAUGACGGUACCCGUAGAAGAAGCCCGGCUAACUUCGUGUCAGCAGCCGC
RNAcentral lists this ribosomal RNA (443 nucleotides) under uncultured bacterium. Its description in RNAcentral is "SSU rRNA". It matches the Rfam family "Bacterial small subunit ribosomal RNA", at positions 26 to 518 of the family's 1533-position model. The record is from RNAcentral.